CAGCCGCCGCGGUAAUACGUAGGUCCCGAGCGUUGUCCGGAAUUACUGGGCGUAAAGCGUGCGUAGGUGGUGGUUUAAGUCCGUUGUGAAAGCCCUGGACUCAACCUGGGAAUUGCAGUGGAUACUGGGUCACUAGAGUGUGGUAGAGGAUAGUGGAAUUUCCGGUGUAGCAGUGAAAUGCGUGGAGAUCGGAAGGAACAUCUGUGGCGAAGGCGACUAUCUGGGCCAACACUGACACUGAGGCACGAAAGCGUGGGGAGCAAACAGGAUUAGAUACCCGAGUAGUCCCUGUCUCUUAUAC
Molecule: ribosomal RNA, 301 nt
Filed under: uncultured bacterium
Lineage: Bacteria
Description: partial 16S ribosomal RNA
Rfam family: Bacterial small subunit ribosomal RNA
Source: RNAcentral